Molecule: long non-coding RNA, 3219 nt
Filed under: Cricetulus griseus (Chinese hamster)
Lineage: Eukaryota; Metazoa; Chordata; Mammalia; Rodentia; Cricetidae
Description: lncRNA (ENSCGRG00015031272.1)
Source: RNAcentral
UGUGGUUCCUGGGAAUUGAAUUCAGGACUUCCGGAAGAGCAGCCAAUGCUCUUAACCUCUGAGCCAUCUCCCGAGCCCAAGGUCCUGGGAUGUGCUUCUCUCAGCCUGGUCUUCUAGCCUUAUGCUGUGAAAAGCCAUCCCUGUUAGUAACACUCAGGGCCAUGCCGCUCAGACACACCCUUCUCAGUCCAGGAGUGGACCCAGCGGCUGAAGGACAUAGGCUGCUGGCUCACCAGAAGAAAGGAAUCCUUCCAGAACCACACCUCCAAACCCAGAGGCCAGAAGCAGAUGGCAGCAGCAGAUAAGUGCAGGGGGUUCACUUGUCAGGGCUCUGACCGCGUCUGGGAGGGAUCAGCUGGGACAAGGGGCGUGUUCUUCUGCCACAGGCUGUUCCUGGUGUGUUGUGGAACGAGGCCGGGCAGAGGCAGCAGUACACGGUGUUCUGCAGGAAGGCAGGCAGGCGAGCUCCAAAUACGGACAUGCGAUAGGAAGCUUGGCUCCAGGAGUGCAGACGCCUCACACAGGAAGCAAACCAACCAGCCCAACCCAGCUCCCAAGUGUCACACAGCCAGGGAGGGAGACGGGGCUGCGAUGUGAGGAACUGAUUGUCCAGGCUUCAAAAGACCAAAUAAAUAAGCCGAUAAAUGAACCAUGAACCACCGAAGAGCCCUGAGCCACCAAAGAGAGGAAGAACGGUCCUCAGUCAAACCAAACUUUCUGAGGAGGAAGGGCUGGCCUUCUCAGCUCUGUUGUUGCUUUAGAAGCAGCUGAGGAGUUGACUGCCCCUGCAACUCUCCCAGGGCAACGCUGGCUGUCCCUGCACCUUUCAGAAAGGGAAAUAGUCCCUUCAUCUGAGCCAGGGCCACCAGCUCUGCGGUGAGGACCAAUUCUCUAUGUUGAAGGUCAGGUUUCUACUCUGAGUUGAAAGAAUAACUGGAAAGGCAGGCGUCUGGGAGACUCCUGCCACCGGUUGCUACCCACGUGAUAGCUGAUGGUGACUGGGGGGCAGUGGGCUGUGAAAUGUGCCAUCUGAAGUCAGAGCGGACUUGAGUUUGAACACCACCCCCUCUGCUUACCAGCUGCUUUACCCUGGUAAGUAAUGAAUUCCCAUUAAGACUCCAUCUCCUCCUGUGUUGGAAGCACUAUGACAUUCAACCUGGAUAGUGAAAUGGAACCAGACAGUCUUGGGUGAAGUCUUCCUAGACCGAUGAACAAAUGUCUACUCACCAACCACAGACCAAAAAAAAAAAACCCAAAAAAACAAAAAAAACAAUUCACACCCAAGUCUGUCUUGGUGUAGCAGUGAAUUCAAUUCCAGCUACUUACAGGUGUGUGGCAGCUUGUGAGCUUUGUUUUGUUUUGUUUUGUUUUUUGUUUUUUUUUUUUUUUUCGAGACAGGGUUUCUCUGUCCUGGAACUAGCUCUUGUAGACCAGGCUGGCCUCGAACUCACAGAGAUCCACCUGCCUCUGCCUCCCAAUGCCCGGCAGCUUGUGAGCUUCUAUACACUGAAGAAAAGGUUUCUUACUCCCCGCCUCUCCCCGCCCCAGUCCAUAUAUCCUCAGGAGGGGCAGGGUCUUGUGAACCUCUUGCCCCAGGAACUGCUUAUGUACACAGAGGUUCCCAGGAAUGGAUGGCUUUCCCAGAGUUCCUUCUGUCAGUCAUGGAAACUGAGAGAGGAGAGAGAGAGAGAGAGAGAGGAGAGGAGAGGAGAGGAGAGAGAAGAGAGAGAGAGAGAGAGAGAGAGAGAGAGAGAGAGAGAGAGAGAGAGAAUGUUUCCCUGUGGCUCCCCUAGCAACAUCUAACUGUCUAUAUAUCUUCAGGGAGAGGCCAGGCUUCCGAACCACACCCAUCUGGAGAGUUUAACUGGCUCAGUCUUUGCAAGUUUCUUUUGAAUAGUCCCAGCUGCUGAGAAUUCAAGGUGAGGGCCUUGUCAUGCCUAGAGGACAGAGUUCCUAGCAGAUGGCACAUUGCAAUGCAUUCAAAAGGUGCUUAUUAAGUGCCCCAUAAUCCUCUAGUAACAGGAAGGGCUGUUAUUAUCAGUUUCUUGUGUAAGUGACUUCUCCCUGAAUAAAAUUAACCUAUGAUGAUGGUGGUGGUGAUGACAUGAGACUUGAGUAGAAGCCACUGUGAGCUUGAGGGACCAAACAAUGAGCAACGGGUGGCAUAAGAUGUCCUGAUCCAGGUAGCCACUUCUGUUACUGCCUAUCCAUUUUCAGAAGCCUUCAAUAGAAUUUAGUUUUUGUUUUUCUUUUUUGAGACAGGGGUUUUCUGUAGCUUUGGAGGCUGUCCUGGAACUAACUCUUGUAGACCAGGCCGGCCUCGAACUCACAGAGAUCUGCCUGCCUCUGUCUCCUGAGUGCUGGGAUUGAAGGCGUGCUCCACCACUGUCUGGCUCCUUCAAUAGAAUUUUAAAAACUUUUAUUAUGAGCUUUGGAUCCUCUCCUGGCACUCACUCCGGAGACCAGGCUGGCCUUGAAUUCACAGAGAUCCGCCUGCCUCUGCCUCCCGAGUGCUGGGAUUAAAGGCGUACGCCACCAACGCCUGGCGUGUGUGGACAUUGUAAGACAACUUUUGUUUUGAGAUAGGAUCUUCCCAUGUAUCUUAGGCUGGCCUUGAACUCAUCAUAUAGCCAAGGCUAGCCUUGAACUCCUUAUAAUCACAAGUCUCCACUUUCUUAAGUGUUAAGAUUACAGGCUUGCAUCAUCACACCCAGCUCAAACUGGCUUUUAUAACAGACUUACCACCAAGGUGACUCAUUGAUCUGUUAAUCCUGGAUGGAUUAAUACAUUCCUCCAGGCAGAAUCCUCUAGACUAAUCAUUUCUCUAGCCAGUGAGAUGGCUCAGGUAUAGUGCUUGCUGAUGAACCUGACAAUAUGAGUUCAAUCCCGGGACCUACACAACGGAAGAACAGCACUGAUUUUUAAAAGUAGCUGUUUGGGGGCUGGAGUGAUGGUUUAGUGGUUAAGAUCAGUGGCUGCUCUUAUAGAGGAACUGGAUUGUAGAAGGAGACCUACCAGAGGCACCGUGGCGCUGACCAUGCCCGUUUGGGCAUAGUCACGGGUGUGUACAUGAGCAAGUAGGAUUUGGUCUGGGCCAGGGACAAGCUUGUUCUCUCUUGGUUCCGGUUGGGUUGUGAAGAGCCACUGGGCGUGGAUCCUUGGAGCUGGGACUUGAGGAUUAUCAGUUUCUUGUGUAAGUGACUUCUCCCUGAAUAAAAU